Molecule: long non-coding RNA, 1853 nt
Filed under: Sus scrofa (pig)
Lineage: Eukaryota; Metazoa; Chordata; Mammalia; Artiodactyla; Suidae
Description: lncRNA (ENSSSCG00055015409.1)
Source: RNAcentral
AUUCCCCUAGUCUGGGAACCUCCAUAUGCCUCGGGUAUGGGCCUAAAAAGACAAAAAUAAAAUGUCCCUCUUACAGGAAACAUAAAUAGAAAAAAAUCAUAGAAGACUUGCUAGAAUGUUGAAAUUCUAUGUAAGCUGAAAUAUAAGAAUUUUUAAAACCAAUUUUCUCUAACCUCACUUAAAGUAAUUCUCUCCAAAAGAGCAAAAGUUGAAUACAGCUUAUUACCCCCUAGGUUCAAGAAAUUCAGAGACUCAUUUGCCAAAUUUAUAGGUAUAGCUAUUGUCCUAAGUCCCAAACAGGUAGGGAUGCAACCUAUGCAUCUAGAGUUGUCACAAAAGGAGAAAAGGCUCUAAGCUGGGAGAGAUGAGACAGAAGACUUCUCUUGUUCCACAGAGACCACAUGACUCAAGCUUUACUUUGCUUCUGGAAAUUUCUCAUUUCCUCAUCUGUAAAACAGGCAUUGGACUAAGUAAGGUCUAUGUCCUUUCCAGAUCAAAACUUUUUAAAGCCCUAAUUCUAAACAUUCUCUCUACACAUGUAUAAAAUGGAAAAUAUCAUAUUUUUAUAAUCUAUAAAAUUAUGCUACAAAUAAAAGAACUGCAUUUGGCAGUUUUUUUCUACGAAAAUUUUAAAGAGGAAAGGAGGUACAAAUCUGGCCAUUUUAGCAUAAUUAUUUCCAUUUUUAAUAUUAGCAUGAUUCUUUAUUACAAAUUAACUUUAUUAAAUUAUACCAUUUUUCUAAUGCCAUGUCUAGCAAAUUUCUGUGUUAACCAUUUUUUAAAUUUACUGAGGAAUAAUGUGUUUGUCUUAAAAAAGGGCCACACCCAUGGCAGAUGGAGGUUCCCAGGCUAGGGGUCGAACCGGAGCUAUAGCUGCUGGCCUACACCACAGCAACACCAGAUCUGAGCCACAUCUAUGACCUACAUGAGAGCUGACAGCAACGCCAGAUCUUUAACCCACUGAGCAAGGCCAGGGGUCAAACCUGCAUCCUUAUGGAUACCAGAUUUGUUUCCACUGAGCCUCGAUGGGAACUCCCAUAAUUGACAAAUAUAAUUGCAUAUAUUUAAGGUGUAUACUGUGAUGAUUUGAUAUACAUUGUACAGUGAAUAUGAAGAUCAAGAAAUUAACACAUCUACAUCUCACAUUGCUAAUAUAGAUUGUGUGUGUGGUGAGAAUGCUUAAUUAAGAUCUAGUCUCAGUAAAUUUCAAGUAUACAACACUAUACUAACUGUAGUCACCAUGCUGACAUUAGAUCUUUAGACCUUUUCUUACAUCUGAAAAUGUGUACCAUUUGACUUACAUCACCCCAUUUCCCCUGCUCCCAAGAUGAUGGCAACCACCGUUCUAUUCUCUGCCUCUAUGAAAUUAGAUUUUUUUCCAUCCUGAUUCUACAUAUAAGUGAUACCACAUAGUAUUUCUCUUUCUGUCUAAUUUCACUUAGCAUAAUGCCCUCCAGAUUUAUUCAAGUUGUUGGGAUGAACCUGGUAUGUGUGUAUAUAUCUCUGUGUGUGUAUGUACAUAUAUGUGUGUUUGUAGUAAAUUUCCUUAUCUAUACAUCCGAUGAAGAACAUUUAGGUUGUUUCCAUAUCUUGGCUGUUGUAAAAAAUGCCGCAGUGGACAUGAGCAUGCAGGUAUCUCUUUGAGUACUGAUUCAGUUCCUUUGGAUAUAUAUUCAGGAGUGGAAUUGCUGGAUCAUAUGUCAGUUCUUUUUUUAAUCUUUUGAGGAACUGCCACACUGUUUUCCUUAAUGGCCAUGACAUUUUACAUUUGUAAGAGUUCCCUUUUUUCACACAAUCACCAACAUUUGUCAUCUCUUUUUGAUGAUGCCAUCCUGACAGGUGUGAGAUAUUUU